This 459-nucleotide ribosomal RNA is filed under the name uncultured bacterium. RNAcentral's name for it is "partial 16S ribosomal RNA". It matches the Rfam family "Bacterial small subunit ribosomal RNA", at positions 338 to 795 of the family's 1533-position model. The record is from RNAcentral.
CCUACGGGAGGCAGCAGUGAGGAAUAUUGGUCAAUGGCCGGAAGGCUGAACCAGCCAAGCCGCGUGAAGGACGAAGGUGCCAAGCAUUGUAAACUUCUUUUGUCAAGGGACAAAAUCAGUCUCGAGAGCCUGACCGAGGGUACUGCAUGAAAAAGCAUCGGCUAAGUCCGUGCCAGCAGCCGCGGUAAUACGGAGGAUGCGAGCGUUAUCCGGAUUUAUUGGGUUUAAAGGGUGCGUAGGCGGACUGUUAAGUCAGCGGGAAAAGCCCGGGGCUCAACCCCGGCGAGCCGUUGAAACUGGCUGUCUUGAGAGGGCGAGAGGUAUGCGGAAUGCGGAGUGUAGCGGUGAAAUGCUUAGAUAUUGCGCAGAACUCCGAUUGCGAAGGCAGCAUACCGGAGGGGUACUGACGCUGAGGCACGAAAGCGCGGGUAUCGAACAGGAUUAGAUACCCGUGUAGUC